This 1042-nucleotide long non-coding RNA is filed under the name Elaeis guineensis (African oil palm). RNAcentral's name for it is "long non-coding RNA (EGUI_LNC045442)". The record is from RNAcentral. Lineage: Eukaryota; Viridiplantae; Streptophyta; Magnoliopsida; Arecales; Arecaceae.
UCGCUGGGCAAGUGUUGGCGGUGGAGCUUUGGUGGCAUGGUUUCUUUCCAUCAGAGGGGGCCAUCAAAUCGGCCUUGAUCUGUGUCCAACUAUCGAUGCUCUUAGUAGAAUUAUGGGUAGAUGCGGUGUUGCGGGGAGUCCUCUACCUGGUCAGGGAGCUCUCCUCAGUGGAUGCAUGCAUGGCAAAGCAAAGAAGGCUUGGCUUCGCCUGGGCAUGCAUGAAGAUCGACUUGUCCCAACCAUUGAGACCGAGGGUGCAAUUCAAGGGUCCGGAGGGCCCUUUCUAACAAAGGUUUGUGUAUGAGAACCUCGAUGAAACCUGUCUCUAGUGUGAAUGAUAGCAUCAUUUGGAGGAAUCAUGCCUGGCCGAGGGGGAGGAGGGGCAUUGGUAGUUGGGGCCGAAGGGGAGGAGUUGUGAGCGGCAGCUAAUGGGCUGUGCUGGGGCCAUGGUUGGUGGCAACCUAGGUCAGAAGUGCCUGUUGGGUCAAAGAAGAAGGAGGCCGAGUCGAAUCAGCCCUUUGAGUCAGAGCCAUGGGUGAGUCAAAUAGGCUCGAACUUGGUCAAUUUGAUAGCUAGAUCGGAUGACUAGAUCAAGAUAACCAAGACCGCACAUCGGAGAUCUCCCAUCUGAUCUAGGUCCGAAUCAAUGGCUGAAUCGAGCAAUGCAAAUGUCAAGAUUCAUGCGGGAAGCUUUAUAGGCUUGAGCCCGGGUGCGGUCCAACCCCCGAACUAGUUUGACCCAUCGGUACUGGGCUGGGACUCGGGCAACGACCUAUCUGGAGGCACGCUGGUGAGGUUGCUGGGAGUGGGCUCAGCCCAGCCCAAGAGGGCCUAACCCCAUGAAUUUGAUGUGGGUUGGGCGCCUAUGACACCUAAUGGGCGGGUUUCAGUGCCUGCUAGGUCCAGAAAGGGCCUAUGAAGCAAAAUAGUGCCAAGGCAAGGCCCUGGCCCACUCGAAGGCUCGAGCAGAAUCAGCAUAUGGCAUUGAAGGACUUGGGGUCUUCAUCUUCUCUACCAGGACCCUUAGAGAGGAGGGGAAUGC